AUUUAUUAUAAUAAUCAACAUUAUUUGGUCCAGGGUUAGUCGGUCCUAAGAGAUAGGGAAGUUCCGUUAUUUCAAAGUGGCCAAUUUUUUCUGCCCGCCUAUCGAAAGGGAAACAGUUUAAUAUUACUGUACUGGGACGAGGAUUUUCUGCGGCAACGCAAUUGAAGUUGGAGACAUCAGUGUGGGGUAGACCUUGAAAUCUGUUAAGCAGGAGAAAAGGUUUACUGACUGGUAGAGCAUAGUACUUUUUGCUAUGUCUGGUGCAUUCACAACGAUCCAUGAAAAUCCAACGGAAAGAAUAAUUUUCUCGCCUAGUCGUACUCAUAACCACAGCAGGUCUUCAAGGUGAAAAGAAAGCCUCUAGU
Molecule: non-coding RNA, 365 nt
Filed under: Parasitella parasitica
Lineage: Eukaryota; Fungi; Mucoromycota; Mucoromycetes; Mucorales; Mucoraceae
Description: Eukaryotic large subunit ribosomal RNA
Rfam family: Eukaryotic large subunit ribosomal RNA
Source: Rfam by way of RNAcentral